UACGAAGGUGGCUAGCGUUGCUCGGAAUGACUGGGCGUAAAGGGCGCGUAGGCGGUUUGUACAGUCAGGCGUGAAAUUCCUGGGCUCAACCUGGGGGCUGCGUUUGAUACGUAUGAGCUUGAGUUCGGAAGAGGGUCGUGGAAUUCCCAGUGUAGAGGUGAAAUUCGUAGAUAUUGGGAAGAACACAGGUGGCGAAGGCGGCGACCUGGUCCGAUACUGACGCUGAGGCGCGAAAGCGUGGGGAGCAAACAGG
RNAcentral lists this ribosomal RNA (253 nucleotides) under uncultured bacterium. Its description in RNAcentral is "partial 16S ribosomal RNA". It matches the Rfam family "Bacterial small subunit ribosomal RNA", at positions 524 to 776 of the family's 1533-position model. The record is from RNAcentral.